CUUGGCGGUAUUUUAGACCAUUUAGGGGAACCUGUCUCGUAAUCGAUAGUCCACGUUACACCUAACCUUUUUUUGCUUUCAGCGUUGUAUAUCGUUGUCCUCAGGAAACUUUUUAGAAAUUAGAAGUUAGCUAAAAAUAGUAAAUUUAAACGUCAAAUCAAGGUGCAGUUAAUAAAAAGGCGAAGAUGGGUUCAAUUAUGUCAAUUAUAAUUCGGAAAAUCAUGAGAAUUAAUGGUUUUAAGGAGGACUUAAAAGUAA
This 258-nucleotide ribosomal RNA is filed under the name Gemmula kieneri. RNAcentral's name for it is "partial 12S ribosomal RNA". The record is from RNAcentral. Lineage: Eukaryota; Metazoa; Mollusca; Gastropoda; Neogastropoda; Turridae.